CUCUUCGGUUAAUACCCGGAGACGAUGACAUUAGCUGCAGAAUAAGCACCGGCUAACUCUGUGCCAGCAGCCGCGGUAAUACAGAGGGUGCAAGCGUUAAUCGGAAUUACUGGGCGUAAAGCGAGUGUAGGUGGCUUGAUAAGUCAGAUGUGAAAUCCCCGGGCUUAACCUGGGAACUGCAUCUGAAACUGUUAGGCUAGAGUAGGUGAGAGGGAAGUAGAAUUUCAGGUGUAGCGGUGAAAUGCGUAGAGAUCUGAAGGAAUACCGAUGGCGAAGGCAGCUUCCUGGCAUCAUACUGACACUGAGGCUCGAAAGCGUGGGUAGCAAACAGGAUUAGAUACCCUGGUAGUCCACGCCGUAAACGAUGUC
RNAcentral lists this ribosomal RNA (369 nucleotides) under uncultured Psychrobacter sp. Its description in RNAcentral is "bacterial SSU rRNA". It matches the Rfam family "Bacterial small subunit ribosomal RNA", at positions 449 to 813 of the family's 1533-position model. The record is from RNAcentral. Lineage: Bacteria; Pseudomonadati; Pseudomonadota; Gammaproteobacteria; Moraxellales; Moraxellaceae.